UCGCCGUGUGCGGCCCAAAACAAAAAAAGC
This 30-nucleotide small RNA is filed under the name Bombyx mori (domestic silkworm). RNAcentral's name for it is "ovarian small RNA-28710". Lineage: Eukaryota; Metazoa; Arthropoda; Insecta; Lepidoptera; Bombycidae. The record is from RNAcentral.